Molecule: ribosomal RNA, 1496 nt
Filed under: Campylobacter jejuni
Lineage: Bacteria; Pseudomonadati; Campylobacterota; Epsilonproteobacteria; Campylobacterales; Campylobacteraceae
Description: partial 23S ribosomal RNA
Rfam family: Bacterial large subunit ribosomal RNA
Source: RNAcentral
UCCAAUACCAACAUUAGUGUGCGAUGGAAGGACGCUUAGGGCUAAGGGGGCUAGCGGAUGGAAGUGCUAGUCUAAGGUCGUAGGAGGUUAUACAGGCAAAUCCGUAUAACAAUACUCCGAGAACUGAAAGGCUUUUUGAAGUCUUCGGAUGGAUAGAAGAACCCCUGAUGCCGUCGAGCCAAGAAAAGUUUCUAAGUUUAGCUAAUGUUGCCCGUACCGUAAACCGACACAGGUGGGUGGGAUGAGUAUUCUAAGGCGCGUGGAAGAACUCUCUUUAAGGAACUCUGCAAAAUAGCACCGUAUCUUCGGUAUAAGGUGUGGUUAGCUUUGUAUUAGGAUUUACUCCGAAAGCAAGGAAACUUACAACAAAGAGUCCCUCCCGACUGUUUACCAAAAACACAGCACUCUGCUAACUCGUAAGAGGAUGUAUAGGGUGUGACGCCUGCCCGGUGCUCGAAGGUUAAUUGAUGGGGUUAGCAUUAGCGAAGCUCUUGAUCGAAGCCCGAGUAAACGGCGGCCGUAACUAUAACGGUCCUAAGGUAGCGAAAUUCCUUGUCGGUUAAAUACCGACCUGCAUGAAUGGCGUAACGAGAUGGGAGCUGUCUCAAAGAGGGAUCCAGUGAAAUUGUAGUGGAGGUGAAAAUUCCUCCUACCCGCGGCAAGACGGAAAGACCCCGUGGACCUUUACUACAGCUUGACACUGCUACUUGGAUAAGAAUGUGCAGGAUAGGUGGGAGGCUUUGAGUAUAUGACGCCAGUUGUAUAUGAGCCAUUGUUGAGAUACCACUCUUUCUUAUUUGGGUAGCUAACCAGCUUGAGUUAUCCUCAAGUGGGACAAUGUCUGGUGGGUAGUUUGACUGGGGCGGUCGCCUCCCAAAUAAUAACGGAGGCUUACAAAGGUUGGCUCAGAACGGUUGGAAAUCGUUCGUAGAGUAUAAAGGUAUAAGCCAGCUUAACUGCAAGACAUACAAGUCAAGCAGAGACGAAAGUCGGUCUUAGUGAUCCGGUGGUUCUGUGUGGAAGGGCCAUCGCUCAAAGGAUAAAAGGUACCCCGGGGAUAACAGGCUGAUCUCCCCCAAGAGCUCACAUCGACGGGGAGGUUUGGCACCUCGAUGUCGGCUCAUCGCAUCCUGGGGCUGGAGCAGGUCCCAAGGGUAUGGCUGUUCGCCAUUUAAAGCGGUACGCGAGCUGGGUUCAGAACGUCGUGAGACAGUUCGGUCCCUAUCUGCCGUGGGCGUAAGAAGAUUGAAGAGAUUUGACCCUAGUACGAGAGGACCGGGUUGAACAAACCACUGGUGUAGCUGUUGUUCUGCCAAGAGCAUCGCAGCGUAGCUAAGUUUGGAAAGGAUAAACGCUGAAAGCAUCUAAGCGUGAAGCCAACUCUAAGAUGAAUCUUCUCUAAGCUCUCUAGAAGACUACUAGUUUGAUAGGCUGGGUGUGUAAUGGAUGAAAGUCCUUUAGCUGACCAGUACUAAUAGAGCGUUUGGCUUAUCUUU